This 148-nucleotide small RNA is filed under the name Macaca fascicularis (crab-eating macaque). Its description in RNAcentral is "Metazoan signal recognition particle RNA (ENSMFAG00000054043.1)". The record is from Rfam by way of RNAcentral. Lineage: Eukaryota; Metazoa; Chordata; Mammalia; Primates; Cercopithecidae.
GCCGGGCGUGGUGGUGCACGCCUGUAAUCCCAGCUACUCGGGAGGUUGAGGCAGGAGAAUCGUUUGAACCCGGGAGACAUAGGGUGCAGUGAGCUGAGAUCGCACCACUGCACUCUGGCCUGGACAACAGAGCAAGACUCUGCCUCAA